RNAcentral lists this ribosomal RNA (501 nucleotides) under uncultured bacterium. Its description in RNAcentral is "bacterial SSU rRNA". It matches the Rfam family "Bacterial small subunit ribosomal RNA", at positions 10 to 509 of the family's 1533-position model. The record is from RNAcentral.
AGUUUGAUCAUGGCUCAGUAUUGUACGCUGGCGGCAUGCCUUACACAUGCAAGUCGAACGGUAACGCGGGGCAACCUGGCGACGAGUGGCGAACGGGUGAGUAAUACAUCGGAACGUGCCCAGUAGCGGGGGAUAGCCCGGCGAAAGCCGGAUUAAUACCGCAUACGACCUAAGGGUGAAAGCGGGGAUCGCAAGACCUCGCGCUAUGGGAGCGGCGAUGUCAGAUUAGUAUUGGGGGGGGUAAGGGCCUACCAGCUCAAGAUCUGUAGCUGGUCUGAGAGGACGACCAGCCCACCUGGGUACUGAGACACCGGCCCCAGACUCCUACGGGAGGCAGCAGGGAGGAUUUUUGGACAUUGGGCGCAAGCCUGAUCCACCCUUGCCGCGUGCGGGAAAAAGGCCUUCGGGUGGUAACCCGCUUUUGUCAGGGAAAACCCCUUUGGGUUAUUACCCCAAAUUAUUGACGGUACCUGAAGAAUAACCACCGGCUAAUUACGUGCC